CCUGCCCUGUGACAAUGUUUAACGGCCGCGGUAUUUUGACCGUGCGAAGGUAGCGUAAUCACUUGUCUUUUAAAUGAAGACCUGUAUGAAAGGCAUCACGAGAGUUUAACUGUCUCUAUUUUCUAAUCAAUGAAAUUGAUCUUCUCGUGCAGAAGCGAGAAUAUUACCAUUAGACGAGAAGACCCUAUGGAGCUUCAAACACUUAAAUUAAUUAUGUAAAAUUAUAAUCCUUAGGGAAAAAUCAUCCAUAUAAUAUUCCUAAUUUAACUGUUUUUGGUUGGGGUGACCGAGGGGGAAAAAAAAUCCCCCUUAUCGACUGAGUACUAAGUACUUAAAAAUUAGAACGACAGUUCUGAUUAAUAAAACAUUUACCGAAAAAUGACCCAGAUUUUUCUGAUCAAUGAACCAAGUUACCCUAGGGAUAACAGCGCAAUCCUUUCCCAGAGUCCCUAUCGCCGAAAGGGUUUACGACCUCGAUGUUGGAUCAGGACAUCCUAAU
This 499-nucleotide ribosomal RNA is filed under the name Centrophorus squamosus (leafscale gulper shark). RNAcentral's name for it is "partial 16S ribosomal RNA". It matches the Rfam family "Bacterial large subunit ribosomal RNA", at positions 1858 to 2551 of the family's 2925-position model. The record is from RNAcentral. Lineage: Eukaryota; Metazoa; Chordata; Chondrichthyes; Squaliformes; Centrophoridae.